AAGGACUCAUAUCAACUUCAGUACAAGCAUCUCAAUUUCUACAAAGAAAAAUGAACCCCCUUUUGCUACUACUCUCACUUUCAAUUAUCCCAUUUAUCUUAGCAGGUUCAUCACCAUCUCCAGUUCUUGAUAUCAAGGGCGACAAAGUCCAAGCGGGUCCCAACUAUUUCGUGUUAGCAGUGAUCCGCGGAAAUGGCGGCGGGCUUACCCCAUUCAACGUUAAACAAAACAAUACUUGUCCUAGGGACAUCAUGCAAUGGAACGAUGAUGUUCAAGAAGGCUUGCCUGUGGUUUUUACACGUCUGGAUGCCAAAAAAGACGUUGUUGGUCUAUCCACUGAUCUUAAUGUCAGGUUUUUCACUCCAACUAUUUGUGCCAGAGAGACAAUUUGGAAACUUGGUCCCUAUGAUGACAAGUUGAAGCAGUACUUUGUGGUGACUGGUGGAGUUGAAGGGAACCCCGGUCCACAAACUUUGAGCAGUUGGUUCAAGAUUGAGAAAUUUGAGAAGGAUUAUAAGUUUGUGUUCUGUCCAAGUGUGUGCAAAGUUUGUAAAGUUAUUUGCAAAGAUGUUGGCAUAUUCAGAACUAAGGAUGGAGUCAGGCUUUUGGCUCUGAGUGACACUCCACAUGGGGUCAUGUUCAAGAAGACUUUCUGAUCCUACAAUUUUUCUCCAGUUUUAUGGUUAAUUGGGAGCUUUUCAAUUUCCAAUAAUAUUCUGCUUCCUCUGAUGUAAUCUUGCGUGUGUUCAAUUCGUUAAUUUGAAGUAUUUUGAACAUGGCUUAAUCUUCUUCCCUAUUGGAUUGUUGUUUAUUCCCACCUUGUCUCUCUUUCUCCAUUUUGUGAAAUUGGAAGGUGAAGCUUCACACCCUUCACAGUGGGUGCUCCAUUAUGUUUCA
This is an RNA transcript of Lycium ferocissimum, 897 nucleotides long. It is a transcript of the gene named kunitz trypsin inhibitor 5-like, with no coding region annotated. The transcript has 2 exons. Lineage: Eukaryota; Viridiplantae; Streptophyta; Magnoliopsida; Solanales; Solanaceae. The record is from RefSeq and is a predicted model, not a curated record.